GCACUGCGCAUGCGGGAAGAUGGCGGGCCGGGCGACUUGAGAUCCGUGGGUCUCCCUCCUCCUUUUCCGUCUGCGUCUGGAGCUCUCGGGCACGUGAGGCCGUGCCGCGUUUACUGGCGGGCGGGACGGCCUAGCCGGGCGGCGCCUCGGAGGAGGCCGCGGACCCCUUAGGUGCUGGGCCCUUGGAAAUCGGCGCGUGGGGGGCGGUGCUCGAGCUGAGUGCGAGAGGGCGGGAGAGCUCGUGGGGUGCGAGGGGAGCAGGACGCCCGGCCGGGCAGCAUGAGUCAGCAGCGGCCGGCGAGGAAGUUACCCAGUCUCCUCCUGGACCCGACGGAGGAGACGGUUCGCCGUCGGUGCCGAGACCCUAUCAACGUGGAGGGCCUGCUGCCAUCAAAAAUAAGGAUUAAUUUAGAAGAUAAUGUACAAUAUGUGUCCAUGAGAAAAGCUCUAAAAGUGAAGAGACCUCGUUUUGAUGUAUCACUGGUUUAUUUAACUCGAAAAUUUAUGGAUCUUGUCAGAUCUGCUCCCGGGGGUAUUCUUGACUUAAACAAGGUUGCAAUGAAACUGGGAGUCCGAAAGCGGAGAGUGUAUGACAUCACCAAUGUCUUAGAUGGAAUCGACCUCGUUGAAAAGAAAUCCAAGAACCAUAUUAGAUGGAUAGGAUCUGAUCUUAGCAAUUUUGGAGCAGUUCCCCAACAAAAGAAGCUACAGGAGGAGCUUUCUGACUUAUCAGCAAUGGAAGAUGCUUUGGAUGAGUUAAUUAAGGAUUGUGCUCAGCAGCUGUUUGAGUUAACAGAUGACAAAGAAAAUGAAAGACUAGCAUAUGUGACCUAUCAAGACAUUCAUAGCAUUCAGGCCUUCCAUGAACAGAUCGUCAUUGCAGUUAAAGCUCCAGCAGAAACCAGAUUGGAUGUUCCAGCUCCCAGAGAAGACUCUAUCACAGUGCACAUAAGGAGCACCAACGGACCUAUCGAUGUCUAUUUGUGUGAAGUGGAGCAGGGUCAGACCAGUAACAAAAGGUCUGAAGGUGUCGGAACCUCUUCAUCUGAGAGCACUCAUCCAGAAGGCCCUGAGGAAGGUUCUUGUAUCGGUUUGAACCCCGAGAGCGCACCAACAGACAACACAAGGCAGUGUGGAGCAACACGCUGUUUUAAUGAGUGCCUGGGUGCAGGCGGGAUGAGGCCUAAAAUGGCGUCAGCCCCAAGUGAUUACCGGACCGGAGUUUUAUAGUCCUCUCUAAACAGGAAGUGUCCCAGUCUGACGUGACUGCUACGUAGUACCCGGAUGGCCUCUUUCUCCAUCUUCAGGGGUACAUGUCUUCCGGCCAGGGCAACCAUUCUACCAACGGAGAUAAUAUUGCCAGAGAAGACAUUUUACCAGGGCAGGAGAAACAUCAUCUUACGUCCCUUGCCCUCCAUUUCUCUUCAUAUUUGUGUACCUGUUUGUAACUGAAUGUGGUAAUAGAAAAUAGAAAAGACAUGAUGACUGGUGGCUGCUGAGUAAGCCUUCAGACACCCUUCCUUAAAUGCAUGAGGAUCUGCACUGGAUUCUGCCCAAGGGCAGGUCGGGGGCAAAAGCAGAUGAGUUGGCAAAAGACCAUAUGGAGACAAGACACCAACACUGGGGACAGGCUCAUGCCGGUUUGGAAUCCAGCCUUUGAACUGAUUUCUGAUUUUGCAAAAUUAUUUUCUACACCAGCUAUUUCUUAAAUGACUUCUGGUUGACUUGGGUGGUAACAUUAAGAUAAAAAUGUGUUGGCAGUGAAAAAAACAAACCAGACUUAAAAGAAAUAUUGAAGCUGGGCGCGGGGGCUCACGCCUGUAAUACCAGCACUUCGGGUGGCUGAGGUGGGAGGAUCACUUGAGCCCAGAAGAUCAAGGCUGCAAUGCAGUGAGCUAUAAUCGCACCACUGCACUCCAGCCUGGGUGACAGAGAGAGACCGUGUCUCAAAAAAAAACAAACAAAUAUUGAAAUGUUGCUUAGUUAAAAGCCUUUUACAAUUUGUUUCCACCUAACAUGUGGUUACUUAUUCGAUCACAUAAUCUGGUGAAGGAGCGUAAAGACCAUGACACUGACUCGCUAUUUACAACAAGGCAACAUAUUGCUUAGUGCUCAUCAGCUUUCUAAAGAAGCUGAACAUCAUGUCCAGUACUUUGCAAAAUUCUUUCAGAUCCUCUGACAGCUUUAGUAAAAAAUGUCAUCACAAGCCAACUCAGUUGUCUACAAACAGGCUCUCAUUUUACAUUUAACUUUGAAAGUAUAUUUACAAUCCUUUGAAAAUAUAUUUACAACAAUUUAGAAUCAUUCUUCUCAAUUUCAUUGCCUCUCAGCUGCACAGCUGGAUUUUAGUUGGUGCAAAAGGAAAAACCGGGUUGUAGGUAAACAUUAUAUCAUGUUUGGGGAGUGGUUUAUAGAAAUUUCAAGCCUCUUGUACUUUCAUGAAUUUUCUAACACUUUAUUAUUGUUAUAAUUAUCUACUCAUAAUAAUGACUGCCAUUUAUUGAGCCCAUACCAGGUGGCGGCCCCUGGACUAGGAGAAACAGUUAAUAUUUGUGUUACCUUGUCAGAUAAGUGUCGUUGCUGAGGCUCGGGAGGAUGAGGGCAUGCUUGCCCAAAACUCCACAACUGGGAAAUACUAGAGCCAGGAUUCGGACCCCAGACAGUACGGUUCACAAGCCAUAUUCCCUUUAAAAAUGAAAGUGACCCCUUGUCAGGCUAUGGAAUUUGAGGUGUGGAAUUCUUUCAGCUCGUGCUGUAGUUACUAGAGAUGGUAUUAAUUGUCAGACAGCUCUUCAGCAGUUGGGGCAAACAGGCAAACAUUAACUAUCAAAUCAUGAUGACCAUACCACCUGGAUUAGUUUGUCCUUGUUGCAUUGCUAUAAGGAACGACCUGAGGCUGGGUAAUUUAUAAAGAAAAGAGGUUUAGUUGGCUCACCGUUCCACAGGCUGUUCAGGAAGCAUGGCUGGGGAGACCUCAGGAAACUUACAAUCAUGGCAGAAUGAGAAGAUGGAGGCACAUUUUACAUGGCUGGAGCAAGAGGAAGAGAGCGAAGGAGGCAGUACACACUUGUAAACAACCAGAUCUCGUAAGCACUCACUUACUAUCAUGAGAACAGCAAGGGGAAAAUCUGCCCCCACGAUCCCAUCACCUCCCACCAGGCCCCACUUCCAACACUGGGGAUUACAGUUCGACACGAGAUUUGGGCAGGGACACAAAUCCAAACCAUAUCACUACCUAAGCCCAUUCCUCCUACUACUGACCACUUCUUUCUUCCCUUGACCAGUGUGCAUGGGUAGGAAUACAUACUGUAUGACGCUGCUCGGUGAGAAGAAGCAAUCUCACUAAACCCCUGGACUGCUUUCUGGAUUUGGUUUUUUGUACUUCACUACUAAGGUUAUUUUCGUUGGUCAGUGAACCUCUGGAACGGUAGUUCGAACAGCUUGUAAUACAUGUCUCAUGAAAGUUACAUGGAUGUGUAUGUAUAUACAUGUAUGCUGGAAUAACUUUAAAUCUUGAUUUCAGAAAUCUGGAAUAUUUAUGCUUAUACUCAAGUAGGGAAUUUGAUUUGAGGUUAUUUAAGUAGAGUUACCAAAAAUAAUCCAUUGCAGCAAAUUUAGAAAGUUAUCAUUAAUGCUCAAAAUAUGGCAUUUUCUACUUAUUUUCACUUCACAAUGUAUCAAAUAGGAUUUCCAACAUCUUAUGAAAAGAUAAAGUAUUUUCUCAAAGAGUUAAGAAAACUGGGGCAAAGGGUAAAUAAGGGUAGAAAAAGAAUAUGAAACCAGGGGAGAGGCUAGUACACAGAAUACAUGCUGUACAGCAUGUGUCAUUGAUUGCAUCUCAUUUUAAAAAUAAAACGGCACAUCCCACUUUCCUAAAAAUGUGGCUUCUUGAUCAGGAAUCUCUAUCUCUGUUACAGCAGUGGGACUUCUUGUCCUUUUUAAUACUUUGUUCUUUCCUCCCUGCCUUAGGAAAUAUUCCAUUUGAUUCUGUCCUUGUUUUUUUUUUUUUUUCUAAUAGGCAACCUUCCACAGCAGCAGUCUGAGACAAUGAAAAAUCACUUGAGCUUUUUAAAACAAAUGAUUGUGAGGAGCAUUUGAGGAUUCAUUUGUCGAGUUAGUUGGAAUGUCUUAUGUGGGCAAGCUCAUGUUUCCAAUUUGGGACUUGGAGCAGGCAAUCAGCUGUGUCGCAUUCUCAUAUCCGCUUGACGUCAGCCCUGAGAGCUGCGGUAUCUUUAGUAGCUCACUGUGUAUGGUGAUAGCAAGUGUGUGAGUUGUCCUCACGGAAAACAGCUCACUUGAUAGUUUAUGAAGCUGCAACUUGGCAGUGCUAUCCAAGACCUUUCUUCCAGAAAUUGCUGUUGCCACUACCACACAGUGGACAAAUCUGAAAGGGAGAAUUUAGUUUUUCCACGGACUCUCCUUUUCCUUUGAAGAUUUUUUGUACACCCUGUACAUAAAACCAUGGCUUACAAAGUAAAAACAUUGAUCGCUUUCUUUUUUCUUUUCUGUUUUUUGAG
RNA transcript from Gorilla gorilla gorilla (western lowland gorilla), 4517 nucleotides. It is a transcript of the gene named E2F transcription factor 6, with no coding region annotated. Lineage: Eukaryota; Metazoa; Chordata; Mammalia; Primates; Hominidae. The record is from RefSeq and is a predicted model, not a curated record. The transcript is spliced from 8 exons.